GAUGAACGCUGGCGGCGUGCCUAAUACAUGCCAGUCGAGCGAACAGACGAGGAGCUUGCUCCUCUGACGUUAGCGGCGGACGGGUGAGUAACACGUGGAUAACCUACCUAUCAGACUGGGAUAACUUCGGGAAACCGGCGCUAAUACCGGAUAAUAUAUUGCACCGCAUGGUUCAAUGGUGAAAGACGGUUUUUCGGUGGGUUAUGGAUGGUUCCGGGCCGCAUUAUCUAGUUGGUAGGGUAGCGGCUUACCAAGGCAAGGAAGGGUAGCCGGCAUGAGAGGGUGACAGGCAACAUGGGGACUGAGAUACGGCCCAGACUCAGACGGGAGGCAGCAGUGGGGAAUAUUGAAAAAUGGGCGGAAGCAUGAUGCAGCAACGCAGCGUGAGGGAUGACGGCCUUAGGGUUGUAAACCGCUUUCGCCUGUGAAGAAGCGUGAGUGACGGUAAUGGGUAAAGAAGCACCGGCUAACUACGUG
RNAcentral lists this ribosomal RNA (477 nucleotides) under uncultured bacterium. Its description in RNAcentral is "partial 16S ribosomal RNA". It matches the Rfam family "Bacterial small subunit ribosomal RNA", at positions 28 to 507 of the family's 1533-position model. The record is from RNAcentral.